Picea glauca (white spruce) is the source of this 121-nucleotide non-coding RNA. NCBI's taxonomy places the organism in Eukaryota, Viridiplantae, Streptophyta, Pinopsida, Pinales, Pinaceae. The record is from Rfam.
ACAUGCCUACAACAUAGAAUUAAUGCACUGGAUCCCAUUACAAAUUCGGAGUUAAGUGCACUCGGGAUAGAGUAGUAUUGGGAUGGGUGACCGCCCGAGAAAUCCUAGUUUCUUACAUGCC